This 292-nucleotide ribosomal RNA is filed under the name uncultured bacterium. Its description in RNAcentral is "partial 16S ribosomal RNA". It matches the Rfam family "Bacterial small subunit ribosomal RNA", at positions 775 to 1067 of the family's 1533-position model. The record is from RNAcentral.
GGAUUAGAUACCCUGGUAGUCCACGCCGUAAACGAUGGAUACUAGCUGUUGGGCCUUAAGGGCUUAGUGGCGUAGCUAACGCGAUAAGUAUCCCGCCUGGGGAGUACGGCCGCAAGGUUAAAACUCAAAGGAAUUGACGGGGACCCGCACAAGCGGUGGAGCAUGUUGUUUAAUUCGAUGCAACGCGAAGAACCUUACCUAGACUUGAAUCCCUAUCGUAGCUUAUGUAAUGUAAGUGUCAGUUCGGCUGGAUAGGUGACAGAUGCUGCACGGCUGUCGUCAGCUCGUGCCG